GAUGAACGCUGGCGGUAUGCUUAACACAUGCAAGUCGAACGGAUGUUUUCGGACAUUAGUGGCGGACGGGUGAGUAACGCGUGAGAAUCUGCCUAUAGGUUGGGGACAACAGAUGGAAACGUCUGCUAAUACCCGAUGUGCCGAGAGGUAAAGGCUUUAGUGCCUGUAGAUGAGCUCGCGUCCGAUUAGCUAGUUGGUUGGGUAAAGGCUGACCAAGGCGACGAUCGGUAGCUGGUCUGAGAGGAUGAUCAGCCACACUGGGACUGAGACACGGCCCAGACUCCUACGGGAGGCAGCAGUGGGGAAUUUUCCGCAAUGGGCGAAAGCCUGACGGAGCAAUACCGCGUGCGGGACGAAGGCUUUUGGGUCGUAAACCGCUUUUGUUAGGGAAGAAGAACUGACGGUACCUAACGAAUCAGCAUCGGCUAACUCCGUGCCAGCAGCCGCGGUAAUACGGGGGAUGCAAGCGUUAUCCGGAAUUAUUGGGCGUAAAGCGUCCGCAGGUGGUUUAUCAAGUCUGCUGUCAAAGCGUGGGGCUUAACCCCAUAAAGGCAGUGGAAACUGAGAGACUAGAGUACGGUAGGGGUAGCGGGAAUUCCCAGUGUAGCGGUGAAAUGCGUAGAUAUUGGGAAGAACACCAGCGGCGAAGGCGCGCUACUGGGCCGAAACUGACACUCAUGGACGAAAGCUAGGGGAGCGAAAGGGAUUAGAUACCCCUGUAGUCCUAGCUGUAAACGAUGACAACUAGGUGUUGCGCG
RNAcentral lists this ribosomal RNA (758 nucleotides) under uncultured cyanobacterium. Its description in RNAcentral is "bacterial SSU rRNA". It matches the Rfam family "Bacterial small subunit ribosomal RNA", at positions 28 to 829 of the family's 1533-position model. The record is from RNAcentral. Lineage: Bacteria; Bacillati; Cyanobacteriota.